UUGGGGAUUUAUAUAAAAGGUUGGGCCUGCCCGGUGAUCUGAAAUGGUUUAACGGCUGCGAUUGAAACCGUACUAAGGUAGCAUAAUAAUUUGCCCUUUAAUUGGGGGAGAGAAUGAAUGGUUUGACGGUAAAAAAGCUGUUUUAAAAAUAAAAAAAGAAGUUAACUUUUAAGUGAAAAGGCUUAAGUUUUUAUAAAAGACGAGAAGACCCCGUCGAGCUUAAUUAGAAUAACUUAAAUGUAGGUUAUUUAAAAUUUUAUUGGGGCAAUAGAAAAUGAAAUGAAUCAUUUUUUUUAUUAUAAGGAUCCAGUUUUGACUGAAAAAAGCAAAAGCUACCGCGGGGAUAACAGGGUAAUUUUUUCUGAGAGUUCAUAUUAAAGAAGAAGUUUGCUACCUCGAUGUUGGAUUAGAAUUUCUUUAUGCUUGCAGCAGGUAUAAUAGU
Molecule: ribosomal RNA, 442 nt
Filed under: Corbicula sp. 14Virg2
Lineage: Eukaryota; Metazoa; Mollusca; Bivalvia; Venerida; Cyrenidae
Description: partial 16S ribosomal RNA
Rfam family: Bacterial large subunit ribosomal RNA
Source: RNAcentral